UUUUGCAAUUCUGGAUUAGGAUUAUGAAUAGAGUACCUUUUGCUGUACUGUCUGAAUUACAUAUGAGUGUUAUUUAUUUAUUGUAGUCUGUCAUGAUUCGUAUCCUGUUCACAAUUUUUCUUGAUACUUUGUGAAAAACGUGGUCUUUUGGGAGUAGUGAAGUAGGAAGCUUUUGAUUUAGUCUGUAGAUAGAUUUUGGAGUGGAUUCGAUGAUUGAGACUUUGUUAUGGAGCAUAAUGGCAGGUUGCUUGGACACAAUGGCAGGUUGCACUCUGUAGUUAUUUUCGGGAAUUAGGAAAUCUGAGCUUUACGUAUGUUGAUGGUUUUUGUGUAUUGGAUCCAUGUAUGUUAUGGAAGAGAGCCAGAGAGGGGUUGAUUUGAGGAUGGUAGAUUACUAAAUUGUGCUGAGAAGAAAGGUUUGGGUGAAAUAGCUUAUUUCUUUUAUCAGCUGACUCUUGUUGAGAAGAAAGGUUCCUGAGUUUUGUGUGUUCCGAAGGUGGUGUGAAGGUAGUGGUGUCAACAUCUUUGGGUUAAUUUGAUUUGAUGUAUUAGUGUGACAGGAAAUAUAUUGAAGUGACUACUUACAGUUUUGUUGAUUUACAUUCUUGGAGGAGUAUACAUUUAUGUGACUAGAGUAGUUAGGGCUUUUGAGGUUCUAGGGCAUCUGCUUAUUUUCUGGUUCAUGGAAAGUUAUAUUUUGAAAGUUCAAAUAAUGCUUGAAGUAAUUCUUGUGAAGCGUUGUUUAUGUUAAAUUUGGAGAGAAGUAAGAGAAUUUAAGUUUAUUAUGUUUUAUUGUUUUUGUUCUCUCUGAUUUUUUGGGUCAAAAUGAUGAGAGGUGUUGACUGAAGGAGUGAGUUUAUGGUGAGAACCCUGUGUAGUUGGGGACUUUGUGAUACCUUAAGCCUAUGGGAUCUUUUGAAUGGAAAUCGAGAUUACAUUAGUGGAUAAGAUGCACAAAGUUGGAAGUUGUAUAAUAAGUUUGAGGGAUUUUUUACUGUAUGAAUUAUAGUGUAUAACUCGAUAACUCUGCCAGGAAAUGUGCAACGGUCUAUUGGAAAAGACUUAUGUAGAUUGUCUUUUAAAGGUUCUAGGUUGUUGUGCUUUGCGUAUUCUAAAGCUAUGAGUGGAGGACCUUUUUUUGCAUAUUAAGAGAAUCGAAAUAGCUAAGUUAUAGACUCGACAAUUCUGCACGGAAAUGUGCAACGGUCUAUUGGAAAAGGCUUAUGUAGAUCAACUGUCGUAUGAAGGAACUAGGUGGUUGUGUUUUGCGUAUUCUAACGGUAUGAGUAGAAGAUCUUUUUGCAUAUUAAGAGAAUCCGAAUUGUUAAGUUAUGUUUGUUGUUAAGGUAGUGUUCAGUAGGUUACGAUUUUUGGUUUAAUUUGAUUAUAGGUUUCCUUCUGUCCGGAAUUAUAUUGGAGUGACAAGUGACAUUUAUAUUAAUUUAUAUUUUUAAGGGAUUUAUUUAUGUUGUGAGAGAAGAUGGUGCUUUGGAGGUUCCAAGAGCUUUAUUUAUUUUGUGGUUUAUAGAAAGUCUAUUUCGAAAGUUGAAAUCAUACUUGGAGAAAAGAUGGUUUGAGGUUCUAGGAGCUCUGUUUAUUUUGUGCAUGGUUUACAGAAAGUCUAUUUUGAAAGAUGAAAGCAUACUUGGAGAAAAUCUUUGGGAGGUCUUUUAUUUUAGACCACUUUUGAUAGCAAUGUCGGAAGAUAAGUACAUUAAGUUCUGAUGGUGUUGUUGUACAUGAUUUUUAGGGCAAAAUUAUGAGAGGUGUUGACUUAAGGAGGGAUUGUUAUAUUGUGAACAAAGUUAAAUGGAGGAGUAGAUGUGAUCAUUAUAAAUGGAAUGAGUGAAGUGAGUGCAUUGAUGGAUAGGAUAGUCCACAAGUUGGAAGUUGUACAAUAAGUUAAGGAUUUUACCCUGGAAGGAGUUCUAGGAGUUGAAUUACCUGUAGUAUAUAAUUUGUCAUUUAUGCAGAGUAAGGUGUUGUUAUAAAGGCGAUGAUGAAAAAAUAUUUCUCAUGAGCUGUCUCUUAAGGGGUAUAGGUUGAUGUGUUAUGUCUGUUCUAAAGGUAUGAGUGGAAAUGUUUUGCAGAUUAACGAAAUCGAGGUUGAUAAGUUUUGUAUGUUUUGGAGGUGGUGGGUUGUUGUUUGUUUUAAAAUCUUUAGGUUAUUUGAUUUGUGGUAUCACUUUGACAAGAGAUUAUUGGAGUAACUACUUACGGUUACAUUGAUUUUUUUUUUUUUUGGAGUAUUCAUUUAUGUGACGAGCGUAGAUAUGGCUCUUGAGGUUCUAUUGUUUCUGGCUUAUGGAAAGUUCUAUUUUGAAAAUUCAAAGCAUACUGGGGAGUGAGCACGUCGUUUAUUUUAGACCAUUUUUUAUAAGUUCAUUGGAAAUUUAUUUCAUUAAGUUUUGAUAAUUUUGUGUUUUAUAGGAUUGGGUUAAGAAUAUUCAAGUAUUUGACUUAAGGAGAGAGUGUUAUAUUGUGACUGGAGGAAUGUGAUAUUUUGAAUGGAAUAAAUGAAACUUGUGACUGACUAAAAUAAUGGAUAAUAUAGGUGGACAAGUUGGAAGAUUAUAGUACGAAAGUGAGUUUUACUUUUACAUUGAUUUGUAUAUUCAGUAAUACAUUUAUUAGAUGGGUCUUUUGAGGUUCUAGGGUUGUGUUCAUUUUGUAGUUUAUGUAAAAUUCCUUCUGAGAUCUUUGACUCAAAAUGAUGAGGGGUGUUGACUAUAGGAGGGAAUGUUAUAAUAUAACACGAGUAGAUGAGAUAUUUUGAGUGGAAUGAAUGAAAUGAGUGGCUAUAUUAGAUAAUAAUAGGUGAACAAGUUAAAAGUUGUAUGCUUAGUCAGGAUUUUGCUCUGAAAGGACAAUACAGAGUAGUAAGGUGCUGCUAUGAACUUCUUUGGAUUAUAUUAACCGUCUUUUGAGGAGAACCUAUUCUGCUUAGUUUCUGAUGUUCCUGAGGUAUAAGUGGAAAAGCCUUUUGCAGUAAGGGGAAUCCGGGUUGCUAAGUUUGUGUGUUUAAGGUGGUGUAGUAGUUGUAUUAUGGUCUUUGGGUUUAUUUGAUUUUAAGUUCCGGUUUUACAGGAAUAUGAUGAUUAAGGUGGUGUAGUAGUUGUGUUAACUUUGGGUUUAUUUGAUUUUAAGUUCCGGUUUUACCGGAAUAUGAUGAUUGUUUUGAGAGAUGAAAGAACAAAGUUGUGCUAAAUUUUGUCGUACCCUAUGUGCGCGAGGGCGGGGUUCACAAAUCUACUAGUUGGGAUAUUUAUUUUUCAGUAAACAAAUUGGAUAAAAUGUCAUUUUCAAGCUGGGAUAUCUUUUGAAGUGACCUUACAUUUUUAUUGAUUCGUAAUAUUCAAGAAUGCAUUUGCAUUGAGAGUAGAUGGGAUUUUGAAGGUCUAUGGGCUGCAUUAAGAUUUUGUGGUUGAUGGAAAGUUCUGUUUAGAAAACUGAAGUCAUACUUGGAGAGUAUGAAGACAACUUUUAUGGCGUAGGAAACUUUUGUUAGAAAUAUGGGAAGGCAAGUACAUUUGUUUUGGUUGUUUUUGAGUGUGAUUUUGGGUUCAAAUGAUUAGAGGUGUUGGCUUAAGAAAGGAUAGUUAUGUAGAGAACACACCGUAUUUGAGGAUCUUUGAUACCUUAAUCUUUGAGAUCUUUUAACGGGGUGUAUGAAACUGUUACGUAACUAUUAUUGCCCGGUAAAUUGAGAAAUAUGCAGGAAGGAUUUAUGGGUCUUAAGUGUUAUAGUUAUACUAUACAACACCAUAGGCAGAUAAUUUUGGCAUGUGCUAUAUAUUUUAUAAGGUUUGAGGGGAAUGAUCAUGUUGUAAAGUCAUGGACUUCUAAAGGGAAUCCAGGACUUCUAAAGGGAAUCGAGGUUACAGAGUUUUGUAUGUUCUUAAGGCACGAGUGGAAAAACAUUCUGUUGCAAAUUAUAAGAAUGCUUAUUUUUUAAUGUUCUGAAGGUGUGGAAAGUAACUGUGUUAAGAUCGUAGGGAUAUUGAUUUGAGGCAUCAAUUUGACAUGAAAUAUUUUGGAGUAACAAACUCACAACUUACAGGUAUGAGUGGAUAACUUUUUGGCAGAUUAUAAGAAUGUGGGUUGUUCAGUUCUAUGUGCUAUGAAGGUGUGGGAAGUUGUGUUAGGAUCUUUGGGAUUAUUGAUUUGAGUCCUCAGCUUGACAAGAAAUAUUCUGGAGUGACAAACUGACAGUUACAUUUAUGUUGAUUUAUAUUUUUGGAGUAUACAUCUAAGUUACGAGAGUAAUGGGGCUUUGAGGUUCUAGGGGCAUUUCCUAAGUUCUGUGUGUUUUUAAGGUGGUGUUUAGUAGUUUUUUAAAGAUCUUCGGGUUUAUUUAUUACAGGCUUUGGACUGACGGGAACUUGGAGUGACUACUUAAAUUUAUGUUAUUUUCAAGAUAUAUUUAUGUUGUGGAAGUAAAUGGCGCAUUGGAGGUUCUUAGGACCGCUGUUUACAAAAGAUGAAAUCAUACUUGGUGUAUCUCUUUGAGACGUCGUUUGUUUUAGACUACCUCCGAGUGGAAUUUUGGAAGUUAACUUCAUUAAGUUCUAAUGGUUUUUAUUGAACAUAAUUUUUGGGUCAAAAUUAUGGGAGGUGUUGACUUAAAGAGAGAAUGUUAAAGAAUAAAAUUAUGGGAGGUGUUGACUUAAAGAGAGAAUGUUAAAGAUGAGAUUUUCUGAAUGUAAUGAACUAAACUGGUGUCUCUUUAUCAAAGAACUAAUAUCACAGGUCUCUCUAUUAUUUCUCAGAAUUCCUUUUGGGUAAGAAUCGAACCUUAUUAAUGGAUAGUAUAUAUGCACAAGUUAGAACUUAGUAAAUUGACGAUCUUAUUCCAGAAGGAGUUUUAACACUUAGUGUUUUAGAUAUAGUAUAUAAUAUGUUAAGGGUGCCAGGUUAGAGGCUAUUAUAAAGGUCGAGAAAGCUUGCUAAAGAUCAUCUGUCAGAGGAAUCUAGUUUGUUGUUUUGUGUGUUGGAAAGGAAUGAGUGUAAAAGUUUUUGAAGAUGAAGGGAAUUUGGGUUACUACUUUUUUAUGUUCUGAAGGUGAUGGCUAGUAAUUGUUUUAUGAUUUUUACGUUUAUUUGAUUUGAGGUAUUAUGGAUAUAUAUUGGAUUGACUACUUACUUUUGAAUUAAUUUAUAUAUUUGGAGUACAUAUUUAUGUUGUGAUUGUAAAAAGGGCUUUGAGGUUCUAGAUCUUAUGAAGAGGAUUUAUUUUAGUUAACUUUUUUGGUAGAAUAUUGGAAGUUAACUUUUUUGGAUUUAUUCUAGUUUGUUAUUUUUGUGUGCUUUUUGGGUCAAAAUGACGAGUGUGUUGAUUGUACGAGGGGAUGUUGGGUCGGGAACAUAGUGUAAUGGAGGAUUUUGUGCUACCAUCUUUGAGAUCUUUGAAAUGGAAUCAGUGACCAUGUUAAUUGAUAACAUAGGUGCACAAACUGGAUGUUGUAAAGUAAGUCAAGGAUUUGUUCCUGAAGGAUUUAUGGGUCUUAAGUGUAUUUAGGUAACGUGUGUAUCUUGAUUAUUACAAGUAAUGUCGUACCUUAAAGGUUUUAGUGGAAAAAGCUAGUCGUAGAUUAACUCACUUUUAACAAGAAUAUGGUUGCCGAGUUUUGUCUGUUGUUAAGGUAAGAAUCCAGAAAGUUCAUUGAAGAUAAAUGGAAUCCAAGGCUGUUAUGUUUUGCAUGUUAUGAAGGUGGUGGGAGCAGUAGGAGCGCAAUAGUUGUGCUUAGAUCAUUAGGCUGUAUUAAUUGGGGGUUUCUGUUUGACAGGAAUAUGAUGGUUUGUUUGAGAUAUCAAAAAAUUGUUUCUUUUGCUAAAUCUUGCCUUAGACUAACCGUCAGAUUAAAAAAUUACUUAUUGGGAUGUCCAACUUAUACCACGCUCUUCCACAAACAAACUCUUGUAGGAUGAAAGUUUCGGUUACAAGAGGAGGAUUAUUUUGGAGUGACCACUUACAUUUUUGUUGAUUUGUACUUUUGAGGAUGCUUUUAUGUUGGGGAGUAGAUGGGGUUUGAGGUUCUAGGGGUUGUAUUAAUUUUAUGGUUAAAGAAAUGUUCUGUUUUCAAAACUGAAACCAUAUUUGGAGUAAAAGAUGUGAGGCAUCUUUUGUAACAGGCAACUUUUGAGGAGAACAUGGGAAGCCAGAAUUCAUUUUAGUAUGGGAAGGCAAGUACUUAUGUUUUGGCAGUUUUUGUGUGUGAUUUUGGGUCCAAAUGAUUCAGAGGUGUGGGCUUAAGAAAGGAUAGUUAUGUGGAGAACACUCCGUAUUCGAGGAUUUUUUUUUAUUGGACUGGAUGAAAUCUUUUACGUAGUGCUAUUAUUGCUUGGUAAACUGAGAAAUAUUCUGGAAGGAUUUAUGGGUCUUCAGUGUUAAUAAUUAUAUUGUACAACACCAUGUCCAGAUAAUUUUGGCAUGGGCUAUUUAUUUUACGAGGUUUGAUGGAAAGAUCUUGUUGUAAAUUCACGGACUUCUCAAGGAAAUCUAGGUAGCUGUCUUUUGAGUGUUCUAAUGGUGUGAUACUCUGAGUGGAAGAUCUUUUUGCAGAUUGACUUCUAAAGGGAAUCUAGGUUACAGAGUUUUGUAUGUUCUAAAUGCACGAGUGGGAAGACAAGGAAGACAUUUUCUUUGCAGAUAAUAAGAAUUUUGGGUUGCUUAGUUUUGAAUGUUUUAAAGGGGUGGGAAGUAACCGUGUUAAGAUCUCUUUGGAAUUACUGAUUUGAGGCAUCAAUUUGACAUAAAAUAUUUUGGAGUGACAAACUCAUAACUUACUGGUAUUAGUGGAUAACCUUUUCGCAGAUCAUAAAACUUGGGUUGCUUAGUUUUGUGUGUUAUGAAGGUGUGCGAAGUUGUGUUAAGGUCUUUGGGAUUAUUGAUUCGAGGCAGCAGCUUGACAAGAAAUAUUCUGGUGUGACAAUCUGACGGCUAACAUUUAUGUUGAUUUAUAUUUUUGGAGUAUACAUGUACGUUACGAGAGUAGAUGGGGCUUUGAGGUUCUAGGGCUGUUGCUAAAUUUUAUGUAUGAAGGUGGUGUUUAGUAGUUUCUUCUAAGAUCUUUGGGUUUAUUUUAUUACAGGCUGCGGACUGACAAGAACUUCGAGUGACUACUUAAAUUUAUAUACUUCAUUAUUUUAUAUUAUUUUCAAAAUAUUGUUGUGGAAGUAAAUGGCUCUUUGGAGGUUUUUAGGAGCGUUUUCGAAUGAUAAAAUCAUACUUGGUGUAUGUCUUUGGGACUUCGUUUGUUUUAGACUACUCUAAUUAAGUUCAUUAAGUUUUAAUAAUUUAUAUUGAACGUAAUUUUUGGGUCAAAAUUGUGAGAGGUGUUGACUUAAGUAGAGAAUGUUAUAGAAUAAAGUUGAAUGGAGAAGUAGAUGAGAUCUUCUGAAUGGAAUGAACUAAACAGGUGUCUCUUCAUCGAAGAACUAGUAUUACAGGUCUGUAUAAUUUCUCAUAAUUUCUUUUGGGUAUGAAUCAGAGCUUAUUAAUCGAUAGUAUACAUGCACAAGUUAGAAGUUAGUAAGUUGAUGAUCUUAUUCGUGAAGGCUUUUAUAAAGCUUGAGAAAGCUUGCCAAAGAUUAACUGUUGUUUCAAAAGAAUCUAGGUUGUUGUUUUGUGUAUUCAAAAGGUAGGAGUGGAAAAGCUUUUGAAGAUUAAGGGUAUUUGGGUUGCUAAGUUUUCUAUGUUCGAAGGUGGUGGCUAGUAAUUGUUUUAAGAUUCUUGCAUUUAUUUGAUUUGAGGUAUUAGUUUGACGGGAGACAUAUUGGAUCGGCUACUUUCAUUUAUAUUGAUUUAUAGUAGAAGGCGUUUUUGAGGUUCUAGGGGCUAUUUAGUUUGUGUCCUACGGGAUUUACUUUUUCUUCUCAAGAUUGAAAUCAUACCUUGGAGAGUUGGAGGUAGAUCUUAUAAAGAAGAUUUAUUUUAGUUAAUUUUUAGGAAGGUAUCUAUGUUUUAAAGGUUUUUAUUUUGUGUGGUUUUUGGGUCAAAAUGAGGAGUGUUUUGACCGUACGAGGGGACGUUGGGUCGGGACACAGUGUAAUAGAGGAUUUUGUGUUUCCAUCUUUGCGAUCUGUUGAAUGGAAUUAGUGACCAUAUUAAUUGAUAAUUUAGGGCACAAACUGGAUGUUGUAAAUUUAGUCGAGGAUUUGUUCCUGAAGAACUUGCGGGUCUCAAGUGUUUUAGGUAAUGUGUAUAUCUUGAUUAUUCCGUCAAGUUAUGUCCCUACCUUAGUGGAUAAAGCUAGUCGUGGAUUAACUGACUUUUAACGAGUAUGUGGGUUGCUGAGUUUUUUUUGUUGUAAAGGUAAGAAUGGGGCAAUCUUUUUGAAGAUUAAUGGAAUCCAAUGCUGCUAUAUUUUGCAUGUUAUGAAGGCGGUGGGAGCAGUAGUUGUGUUUAGAUCAUUAGGUUGUAUUAAUUAGAGGUUUCUGUUUGACAUGAAUAUGAUGGUUUGUUUUAGAUAUCAAAAAGUUGUUUCUUUUGCUAAAUGUUGUCUUAGACUGACCAUGGGAUUAAAAAAAUACUUAUUGGGAUGCCCAAGUUAUACCACACUCUUCCAUAGACAAACUAACGGGGUGAAAGUUUCAGUUACAAGUGGAGGAUUACUUUGGAGUUGCCACUUACAUUUUUAUUGAUUUGUACUUUUUGAGGACACUUUUAUGUUUUGGAAGUAGAUGGGGAUUUUGAGGUUCCUUGGGGUUGUAUUAAUUUUAUGGUUAAAGAAAUGUUCUGUUUUCAAAACUAAAACCAUACUUGGGAGUAAAACAUGUGAGGCAACUUUUGAGGAGAACAUGAGAAGCCAAAAUUCAUUUGUUUUGGUAGUUUUUAUCGUGUGAUUUGUGUGCCUAAAUGAGGAUAAGUGUUGACUUAAGGUGGGAAUUUCUGUUGUGAACACAAUUGAGGAUUUUAUGAUACCAUCUUUGAGAAACCGUGACCAUAUAAUUGAUAAUAUAUAGGUGCACAAGCUGGAAGUUGGGUAGUAACAUUAGUAAAGUCGAGAGUAUAUUUUGGGAUGAUUUAUAGGUCUAGUAUGUUUUAGUCAAUGUGUUACUUGAUUAUGUCGAGUGAUGUGAAAUCUGAAAGGUUUAGUGUAUCUGGGUUGUUGAUCUUAUGUGUUAAAGUUAUGUGUGGAAAAGAGUUUUGAAGAUUUAGGGAAUCUGGAUUGCUACGUUUUGCAUGUUAAUGAAGGUGGAUGGAAGUUGUGUUGUUAUGGUGUUUGGAUUUAUUUGGUUAGAGGUUUCAGUUUGACAUGAAUUUGUGUGGACUGUGGAGUUAAUCUUGUGUAACAUUGUUUAUUUUAGAAACUAUGGAGAGGAAUACGGAAAGUCAAGUUCAUUAUGUUUUGAUGGUUUUUAUGUAUGAAGGGUGCUCGCGUAUGGAGCAAUUGGAUGUUACUAUAGUGAACACAAUUUAAUGAAGGAGUUUGUGAUACCUGAAGCUAUGUAACUUUUGAAUAGGAGUGUUAUAUUCUGGAAGGGUGUAGUGUGUAACAUUAUUGGAGUGACCACUUAUAACAGUGGUUUUUGCCUUUCGUGGAUACAUUAAUGAUGCGGUGAGAUAAGAUAUGGCGUUUGAGAUUCUAUGGUCUUUGUUUAUUUGGUGGUUUAUGGGAAAAUCUAUUUUGAUGAGUGAAAUCUUGAGGUAACUCUUGUGAGACGUUUAUCUUAUCCAAUUUUGAGAGGAAUAACAGAAGUGAAGUUCAAUAUGUAUUGAUUGUUUUUGUAGUAUGUUUUUUGAUCAAAAUGAUGAUUGUUGUUGUCUUAAGGAGGGAAUGUUAUAUUGCGAAUGGAAACAUGAUUGAGGAGUAGAUGAGAUCUUUUGAAUGGAGACUAUGUAAAUGGAUAAUAUAGGUGAACAAGUAGGAACAAGUAAGGUGAUAUUAACAAGGUCUUAGUGGAAAAAGAAGGCUAUGAAAUAAUUAUCUUUUGUGGAAUCUAAGGUGCUAAGUUUGGUAUGUUCUAAAGGUAUGAGUGGAAAAGCUUUUUGCUGAUAUGGGAAUUUGAGUUUGCUAAGAUUUUUUUUGUUCCGAAGGUGGGUAUAGUUGUGUUGGAUCUGAGGGUUAAUCUGAUUUUAGUUUCACAUGAAAUACGAUUAUUCGAUAGAGAGAUAAAGGAACAAAAGUUGUGCUAAAUGCUAAAUGUUUUCGUAGCCUAAUGUGUGGGGUGUAUAAUUUACUUAUUGGGAUACCCAACUUUAUACUUCCCUUCCCUAAACUCAGUUUCGAUAAAUUUUUCGGUUUCAAGUUGAGAAUUCUUUUGGAGCUACCCACUUCCAUUUCUAUUAAGUUGUAGCUUUGGAGGUUGCAUUUAUGUUGCAAGAGUAGAUGAACUUUUGAGGAUUUAGGGGAUGUGUUAAUAUUGUGGUUCAUGGAAACUGAAAUCAUACUUGGAGUAAUCUUAUGAGACACCUUAAUGGCAGGAAACUUUUAAAAGAAAUAUGGGAAGGGAACUACAUUACAUUUGUUAAGUACAUUUGUUCUGGUGAUGGUUGUGUUGAUUUUUGGGUCUAAAUGAUGAGAGGUGUUGACUUGAGGAGGAAUUGUUUCUUUGAGAACACAACUUAAUGAAGGAUUUGGUGAUACCUUAAUCUUUGAGAUAUUUUGAAUGGAAUAAACGAAAUUGGUGACUAUAUUAAUGGAUAAUAUAGGUUGAACAAGCUGAGAAAUAUUCUGGAAGUAUUUAGAGGUCAUAACUAGCUGUUGUUUUAUGUAUUAUUACUUGAUAAGUGUUCCGAGUAAUAUGCUUCCGUAAAAGUUUGAGGGAGAAAAAUUCUUGUUGUAGAUUAACCAACUUCUGAAAGAAAGCCAGCAGGUUUGUGUGUGUGUUUGUGUGUGUGUGUGUUUGUGUGUGUGUGUUCUAGAAGUAGGAGUGGAAAACCUUUUUGCAGAGUAAGAAAAUCUGAAUUAAAUUUUGUAUGUUCUGAAGGUUGUGGGAGUAGUUGGCAUUAUGAUCUUUUUUGAGCUUAUUUCAUUAGAGGUAUCAGAGUUACGAGUAAUUUUUUUUUUGAGGAUACAUUAAAUGUGGCAAUGUUUAUUUUGUGGUUUAUGAAAGUUACUACUACUAUAAUUGAAAUCAUGUUUGGAGAAAAUCCUAUGAGUCGUCGUUACGUUAUGAGAUCUUUUGAAUAGAAAUGUAAAAUGAAUAUGGGAAGUUAAGGUAAUUAUAAUUUGAUGGUUUCUCUUGUUUGCAUUUUUUUUAUUCAAAAUGAUAAGAGGUGUUGACUUAAAGAUGGAGGCUAUAAAAUGCACAAUUGAAGGGAGAAAUUUGUGAUAUGCUAAGCUAUGGGAUCUUAGUUUGUGACUAUAUCAAUGUAUAAGGUGCCUAAGUUGGGUUUAUAGUGUAUGACUUGAUACGUUUUUCAAGAAGUGUGAUAUUUUAACAGUUUGAGUGGAAGAAGUUUCUUGUAGAUUAACCAACUCCGAAAGGAAAUUUACGCUAGUCUGGUUUUAUGUGUUGUGAAGUAUGAAUGGGAAACCUUUUUGUAGUUUAAAGGGAUUCAGAUUGGUAUGCUUUUUCUGUUCUGAAAGUGGGGGCAGUAGUUGUGUUAUGAUCUUUGGGUUUAUAUAUAUGAUUUUGAGGUUUCAGAUUGAAGGCAGUUAAUUGGAGUGGGUCCACCUACAUUUGAUUGAUUUAUUUAUUUGAGGAUACAUAUAUGGUGUGAUGGGCCUUUUAGGACUGUGUUCAUUUUGUGGUAUUGGAAAAUUCUAAGUUGAUGAUUGAAAUCAUACUCUGAGUAUAUAUUGUGGGACUUCGUCUAUCUUUAUCCACCCGAGAGGAAUAUGGCAAGUUCAGUUUAUUAUGAAUUGAUGGUGUUUGUUGUGUGUGUGUUGUGGAUCAAAAUGGCGAGAGUUAUGGACUUAAGGAGGGAAUGUUAAAUGCGAACAUAAUGUAAUUGAGGAGUAGUUGAGGUCUUUUGAAUGGAAUGAAUGAAAUGGGCAACUAUAUUAAUAGAUUGAAUGUGCACAAAUUGGAAGUUCUUAGGUAAGUCGAGGAUUUUAUUCUGGAAGUAUUUAUAUGUAUCAAGUGCUUUAGUUAUAGUGUAUGAUAUAGUUAUUAUGACAUGUAGGUGCUAUUAAGAAGGUCUUAGUGUGUAUUAUCUUUUGUUAGGAAGUAUGAGUGGAAAAGCUUUUUGUAGAUUAAGGGAAUCUGCGUUGUUAAGUUUUGUGUGAUCUGAAGGUAUGAGAUCAAAAGCUUUUUGCUAAUGACGUGAAUCUGGAUUUCUAAGUUAAGGUAGGUGUGCGUGUUGGUGUAUUUGGUUUAAAUUUUCAGUUUGACAGGAAUAUCAGGUUUUGUUUUGAGGUCAAGUUAAAUUUUUAGCUAUAAAUUUUAUCAUAGCCUGAUGUGCAGGAUUCAUUAACUUACUUAUUGGGAUAUCCAACUUUAUGCCCCACCAUUCCCCAUAAGAAAACUCAAAUUGGAUAAAAAUUACAGUUCCAAGAGAAGGGUUUUCGGUUUUGAUGUAUUUGGUGUGAACAGUUAUAUUAUUGAUCUAUAGCUUUUGAGGAUGCUUUUAUGUGGUGAGAGUAGAUGGGGAUUUGUGUUUCUAGGGGUUGUCCUAAUUUUGUGGUUAACGGAAAGUUUUGUAGUGAGAAUUUUAAUCAUCCUCUGAAGACAUCUUUUCUGUCACAUAAAUUCUUAGAGGAAUGUCAAGUACAUUUUUUUAAUGGUGGUGGUGUAUUUCUUUUGGGGGGAUCAAAAUUUCGUUUAGAACACUUCGUAAUGCAAGAUUUUGUGGUACCUCAAUCUUUGAGAUCUUUAGGGAGGAGUGACGGAUCGUAUUAAUUGAUAAUAUAGGUUCACAAGUUGGAAGUUGGAGUAUUCGUUUAUACUUCCAUCAAUUUAUGGCUUUUGAGGUUCGUGAGGCUUGUUUGUUACUCCCUUUGUCCCUUAAUACUCGCACCGUUUUGACUGGACACGCUUGCCAAUACACAAUUUUGACCACCAAUAUCUUUAACUACAUAUUAUAAAAAUUUAUAUAAAUAUGAAUAGUGCAAAAAGUCAAAACGGUGAAAGUAUUAAGGGACAGAGGGAGUAUUUUUUUUUUAUGGGAAGUUCUUCUUUGGAAGCAAACUUGGGGUAAUCAUGUGAAGACAUCCUUUAUAUUAGGCAACUUUUGAGAGGGAUAUGGGAAGCCAAGUGCAUUAUGGGUUGACUGUUGUUAUUGUGCAGUUAUCAUGUUAUUUAUACCAAGUAUUGUGCUAUAAAUUUGGGAGUGGAAAAGGCUUUUCCAGAUUAAGUGGUCUGAGCUGCAUUAUUUUGUGCUAAUUGUUUUUGUAGCAGACAGUGCGGUGUUCAUAAAAUCACUUAGGAUGUCAAUUUUUGUGAAAAACUCAACUUUGAUGAGAAGCUCAGUUCCAAUCAGAUUCUUUUGAAGUGUCGGCUCUUAUAUUGAUUUGUAGGUUUCAAGAACAAUUCUAUGUUGUGAGAACAGAUGGAUCCAUGAGAGUUUAUCAUUCUACUGGUUGUGUUUUAUGUGGUUUGCUAGUUCCUAUUGAAGGCAUACUCCGAAAAUUCUUGUGAAGACUUCAUUAAUAUUAGCAACAUUUGAGAAAAAUAUGGGAAGGCAAAUUCAUCAUGUAUUGAUGAUUGUUAUUUUGUUUGAUUUGUAGGUUUCAUAAUAGGUGUUAAUGUUAUGUUGAGAACAAAAUGGGGGAUUUUGUAAUACCUUAACAUCUAUGAGAUCUUUGAAUGGAAACCUAUGAUUGAAAUGAGGGACUACAUCUACGUACAUUCAUAUUAUAGGUGCUAGAGUUGAAAGUUAUAUAGUUAGUUGACGAUUUAAUUUUUUAUGCCAAGUGUACGGGUGUGCUACCAGCUGGCUGGUAGCAUCCCCAACCAGUUAAGGAUAAUAGCCAAUAAUCCUUAACGACAGCUAUUAUUCCCUACCAGCAUCUCUUGAAAGCCGGUAGGGAGGCAGCACGUGAUCAAUCAAGAAGUCAACGGGUCACUAUCAAUCGGGUAGGACCCAUUUGUCCGUACGCCCGACCCGCGCCUAUAUAUAUGAGCUUCAUUUAUUACAAAAGGUACGCAAUCACAAUCAUUCACCAAACCUAAAAUACUUAUUACUUACCAUACCUGACUUUAGCAUCGGAGGGGGAUCCUCGAAUCACCCUCGAGGCUAGUUCAUCUUUGUUAUCUGCGCAGGAUAUCAUCAGGAUAACAACAAUACACGAUCAGCAAGACCUCUCCAACCGUUUCCAAUUCUUACAGGAACACCAAGUAAUGAUUCAUUUUAAAGGCUCGACUGGAUUUUAUAGAGGAAAUCUUGGUUGAUAGACUAUGUGUGUUAUGAGUGGAAAAGGUUGUCGCUAGAGGGUAUGCUGGUCAGUUGGUUUCAUCAUGAGAAGAUUAUGAUAGGUACUUGUAAUAGGUCAUGUAGUAGUUAUCAAAGAGGUGAAUGUUGUAACCAAAUGUGUGGAAUAUUGGUGCCGAAAACAUUACUUAUUGGGCUCAAAUUGCUCUUAUUUAGACUCGCUAAUUCUUGUGUGAAUGA
Long non-coding RNA from Spinacia oleracea (spinach), 14500 nucleotides. RefSeq lists it as uncharacterized. The transcript has 2 exons. The record is from RefSeq and is a predicted model, not a curated record. Lineage: Eukaryota; Viridiplantae; Streptophyta; Magnoliopsida; Caryophyllales; Amaranthaceae.